RNAcentral lists this ribosomal RNA (484 nucleotides) under uncultured bacterium. RNAcentral describes it as "partial 16S ribosomal RNA". It matches the Rfam family "Bacterial small subunit ribosomal RNA", at positions 30 to 507 of the family's 1533-position model. The record is from RNAcentral.
AUUGAACGCUGGCGGCAUGCCUAACACAUGCAAGUCGAGCGGAUGAAGGGUGCUUGCUCCUGAAUUCAGCGGCGGACGGGUGAGUAAUGCCUAGGAAUCUGCCUCUUCGUGUGGGAUAACGUCCGGGAACGUGCGCUAAUACCCCAUACGUCCUGAGGGUGAGAGUGGGGGAUCUUCGGACCUUACGCUGUCAGAUGAGCCUAGGGCGGAUUAGCUAGUUGGUGGGGUAAUGGCCUACCAAGGCGACGAUCGGUAACUGGUCUGAGAGGAUGAUCAGUCACACUGGGACUGAGACACGGUCUAGAGACCGACGGGCGGCAGAAGUGGGGAAUAGUGGAAGAUGGGGGAAAGCCUGAUCCAGGCAUGCCGCGUGUGUGAAGAAGGUCUUCGGAUUGGAAAGCACUUUAAGUUGGGAGGAAGGGCAGUAAGUUAAUACAUUGCUGUUUUGACGGUACCAACAGAAGAAGCACCGGCUAACUUCGUG